UGCCUUUAGGUUCUAUGGUGGUAUACCUGAGU
RNAcentral lists this non-coding RNA (32 nucleotides) under Rattus norvegicus (Norway rat). The record is from RNAcentral. Lineage: Eukaryota; Metazoa; Chordata; Mammalia; Rodentia; Muridae.